Molecule: long non-coding RNA, 213 nt
Filed under: Mytilus galloprovincialis (Mediterranean mussel)
Lineage: Eukaryota; Metazoa; Mollusca; Bivalvia; Mytilida; Mytilidae
Source: RNAcentral
UAAAAUUUGAACACAGUGUCAAGACGACAAUUCGAUUACCACUUAACACAAUCGUCUAAAAUUUGAACACAGUGUCAAGACGACAAUUCGAUUACCACUUAACACAAUCCUCUAAAAUUUGAACACAGUGUCAAGACGACAAUUCGAUUACAACUUAACACAAUCGUCUAAAAUUUGAACACAGUGUCAAGACGACAAUUCGAUUACCAUUUA